This 77-nucleotide transfer RNA is filed under the name Paramicrobacterium humi. RNAcentral's name for it is "Microbacterium humi tRNA_Pro_CGG". It matches the Rfam family "tRNA". From Rfam's summary of the family: Transfer RNA (tRNA) molecules are approximately 80 nucleotides in length. Their secondary structure includes four short double-helical elements and three loops (D, anti-codon, and T loops). The record is from RNAcentral. Lineage: Bacteria; Bacillati; Actinomycetota; Actinomycetes; Micrococcales; Microbacteriaceae.
CGGGGUGUGGCGCAGCUUGGUAGCGCACGUCGUUCGGGACGACGGGGCCGCAGGUUCAAAUCCUGUCACCCCGACUA